Molecule: non-coding RNA, 28 nt
Filed under: Bombyx mori (domestic silkworm)
Lineage: Eukaryota; Metazoa; Arthropoda; Insecta; Lepidoptera; Bombycidae
Source: RNAcentral
UGAGAGUAAAUUCUGUGCUAUGCGUAUA